UGAACGCUGGCGGCAUGCCUAACACAUGCAAGUCGAACGGUAACGCGAGGAGCUUGCUCCUUGGCGACGAGUGGCGGACGGGUGAGUAAUGCUUAGGAAUCUGCCCCGUAGCGGGGGACAACCCGAGGAAACUCGGGCUAAUACCGCAUACGCUCUACGGAGGAAAGCGGAGGAUCUUCGGACUUCGCACUAUGGGAUGAGCCUAAGUCGGAUUAGCUUGUUGGUGAGGUAACUGCUCACCAAGGCGACGAUCCGUAGCUGGUCUGAGAGGACGAUCAGCCACACUGGGACUGAGACACGGCCCAGACUCCUACGGGAGGCAGCAGUGGGGAAUAUUGGACAAUGGGGGCAACCCUGAUCCAGCAAUGCCGCGUGUGUGAAGAAGGCCUGCGGGUUGUAAAGCACUUUCAGUAGAGAAGAAAAGCCUACGGUUAAUACCCGUGAGUCUUGACGUAGCCUACAGAAGAAGCACCGGCUAACUCCGUGCCAGCAGCCGCGGUAAU
Molecule: ribosomal RNA, 503 nt
Filed under: uncultured bacterium
Lineage: Bacteria
Description: bacterial SSU rRNA
Rfam family: Bacterial small subunit ribosomal RNA
Source: RNAcentral